AGAUGACAUCAGGAGGUAGGCAGGAACUAGAUUAUAUCCAGGGUUUUAGACCACAUUUAGGGUUUGGGGAUCCCUGCUGAGCUUUAAUAAUAAACGUAUGUGUUGGGGCACACAGUAGGCUUGCAGAACAUUGGAUGGUAUAUCCCUUGUGUCAUGCAGGGAUGGACUAUGCCUCCAACAACACCUGGAGGAUCAGCCAAACAAAGGCAGGACUAAGAACCCCUUAAAGGACAAUAAAAUCAGAGUUCCUGCACCCAAAAAAGCGACGACAACAACAACAACAACAAAAAACAAACAAAAAGACAAUCAAAGACAAAGCAUGAAUUGCCAUUCAGUCAGUCACAUUGUGUGUGACCCUGGACAAAUCAAUGUCUGUGACCCUGGACAAGUCUUAUUGUGUGUGACCCCCCCUGGACGAGGUCUCUCAGUCUCCUAGAGACAGAAGGCUUGGGAUCCCUGCUGAGCUUUUCUGAGAUUCUGGUAAUUGGUAAUAAAAAAUUCUGUAUGGGCAAGGCUUUGUCUAGUGCUUGCUACAAACUAGGCAAUCAUAUCCCUUUCUGUAGCUAUGCUCCAAAUUAACCUAGAGAUAGCACCAUGACCAGGGUUAACUUAUGGUGUUGGGGGCAGGGUCCUAAAAAUUUGAUGUCUUUCUGAAAUUGCCACUUCUAAAAUAUUUGCUUAGAAUGUGCUUAAUGAAGGUAGGGGGAAACUGCUUUUUUAUAUUAGGAAAUUUAUUGAAAAUAACACAGUUAGACUACAUGGAUUUGAGUUAGGAUUGUGAUUUUUCUGAACCCCCAAACUUCUUGGGUUUAAAAUUUAGAUAACAGGAGUUUCUGUCGUGGUGCAGCAGAAAUGAAUCCGACUAGGAACCAUGAGGCUGUGGCUUCUAUCUGUGGCCUCUCUCAGGGGGUGAAGGAUCCAGUGUUGCUGUGACCUGUGGCGUAGGUCACAGAUGUGGCUCCGAUCUGGUGUUGCUGCGGCUGUGGCAUAGGCCAGCAACUGUAGCUCAGAUUAGACCCCUAACCUGGGAACCUCCAUACGCCGCAUGUGCAGCCCUAAAAAUUAAAAUUUAGGUAAAAAAUAAAUUAUUAUUUCCCAAGUAAAUAGCAUUAUGCUAUGGAUCAUUCAGUUUCCAAAUUUCAUUGAAUUUUUUGGCUGCUGACUUCAGGUGAUUGACAUAGCUGAGCUUGGUGGAGGCUGGGGGAGAGUUUUAUAGCUGCAGGGAUUUGCUUUCAUAUGCAGAUCACAAGAAUACCCUGUAACACAGGGGGGCACUGGCAAAUCCUGUACUUUUAUUUCAGUUUUUUUCAGGAAAGCAGGCUGGCAAUACUCAUCUGGAGUUGCUGUCUGCCUUUUUUUUUUUCACCACUGCAUCCAGGCUAGGGGUUGAAUUGGAGCUGUAGCCAGCCUACACCACAGCCACAGCAACCCAGGAUCCCAGCCACGUCUGUGGCCUACACCACAGGUCACCGUGGCACAGAACCAUUCUUUUUUUUAUGGGAACCAUUCCUCCUGGUUUGUGAUAUAAAUCUUCCACCCAUCAUAUGGCUGAGCACACAAUCCGUGCUUGACAGUCAAAGAUUGGUUCAAAUGUACACCAAUAAGAGCAGUAGCUUAAACUUCUUUUAUUCCUUUUUUGUCUUUCUUUCUUUUUUGGCCGCCCACAGCAUAUGGAGUGACCCCACCAGGGAUCAGGUCUGAGCCCCAGUUGUGACCUACGCUGCAGCUGUGGCAACACCAGAUCCUUAACCCACUGUCCCUGGCCAGGAAUCGAACCUGGGUCCCUGCACUGCAGAGACAUUGCCGAUCCCACAGCGGGAACUCCUAAAACUUUUUGAUGGAAUUUAUAGGAUAGCAGUAUUCUCUCCUAAGAUUCCUUGUUGUGAAGACAGCAUUAACCAAGAAUUCUCAUCUUUGCCAUCACAUAGGACAAGCCAGACUGAGAGAAGGACAAAGCAGAGAGCACUCAUAACCAUUAUUUGGAAUCCUGAUGAUAUACUUUGAGCCCUUUUGACUCUGCUCCGAUCCCAUGUUGCUGUGACUGUGGUGUAGGCCAGCAGCUGCAGCUGAUUCAACCCCUAGCCUGGGAACCUCCAUAUGCUACUGGCGCGGGCCUAAAAAGAAAAAGAAAAAAAAAAAUGGUUAAGAUGAUGUUACUGGAAUGGAACUGCAUCCUUGCAAAAUCCACAUAGUAAAGAUUAACCCCCAUGUAUUGAAAACAGGGUCUUUAAAUAGGUCAUCAAGGUUAAAUGAGGUCAUGACUAGGGCCCUAAUCCAGUAGAACUGGUAUCUUUAAGAAAGAGGCACCAAAGCCCUCUCUCUAUGUUUGCAAAGAGGAAAGGUCGUAUGAGGACACAGAAAAAAGGCGGCCAACUGUGAGCCAAGAAAGGAGGCCUGACCAGAAACUGACCAUGCCUGCACCUUAAACUUGGACUUUUAGCCUCUGGGACUGUGAGAGAAUUAGUUUCUGCUGUUUAAGCCACCAGUUUUGAUGUUGUGUUGUGUGAUAUUAGGCAGCCAGAGCGGAUUAAUAGAAAUGGUAAAUUAUAUGUUAUAUGUAUUUUAUCACAAUUUUAUUUUAUUUUAUUUUAUUUUAUUUAUCUUAUGGCCCAGGCUAGGGGUCUAAUCAGAGUUACAGCUGUCGGCCUAUGCCACAACCACAGCAAUGCCAGAUCCAAGCCACAUCUUCAACCUACACAGCAGCUUGCGACAACGAUGGAUCCUUUACCCACUAAUCAAAGCCAGCGAUCAAACCUGUAACCUCACAGAGACAAUGUCAGGUUCUUAACCCACUGAGCCACAAUGGGAACUCGUACCACAAUUUUUUAAAAAGUCUGUUUUGACUUGGUUUUCUAUUAUGUAUAACCCAAAGACUCCUCACUAAUAUGCAACCGAUUUAAUUUCAUCCAUUGCAUAAAAAAUCCUACGUGGCCUCUUGUGUUAAUUGGCACAAUACUUUCUAAAUUGUCAGUGAGGUUUUGUUACUUUCUGUGUAUGGGCAUCCCUGGAAAAAGCUACUGCACUGGCUGGCCUUUCAAUUUGGCUCAAGAUUUCUUGGGGAAAGAAAUAAUCCCAGGAUGCUCCAAAAACAGACCCCAUAGCUUCAUUUGUGAAAAUCCUGGGUGUCAGGCCUCAGAUCCUUGAUUCCUGUUCCCAGGAAACCUUCCCAGGAAGACGUCGCCCGAGGCAGCUUUGAAUAAUGAGUUUUCCUUCUCAGAGCCUUCCUAUUCCAUUUCCAGAUGUUCCUAUUUGGAAAUCUUCCCUUAUUUUGUCUCUUGAAGUGCCAGCACUCAGAAAGGGCCCAGCCCCUCUGACAGCCGGUAGGCUUUCUGCUCAAGGGAUUUCACAGCAUCAGGACUCACACCCCAGCCUAUUAGAUGGCAGAAAUCCUUUCAAGGCAAGUUGGGACUUAUUUGUAACUUAUCUGAGAAACACAUCACAGUGUGUCUUUGUAGCCAGGGAUCCUCAAGCGAGAAGGUAACAGAUGAAAUAACUUAUUAGUCCUUUUCCUUCCCAAGAGUCUCUAAAGCAUGAAAAACUCCACUAUACCUGCUCCUCCGAGCUUUUGCUGUAGAGAUUUCCCGAGAGCCUCCCAGUGCUGCCAGUGUCAGCACACCUGUCUGAGGCAGACGUGCACCAGCAACGGCAAAAUAAUGGAUUCCAUUUACUGAGCACGUACUAUGCGCCAGACAUGGUACAAAGUGUUGUACCUGGGUUAUUUCAUGUAUGCCUUAUAGGAACAUGUGAAGUAAACCUAUCAACCUCGUUUUACAGAUGAAGAAACACGGCCUCGUAAAGUACAAGCAGCUCACUCGGAUUUAUUGAUCUUGUCAGUUGGCAGAGGCAGGGCUACCAGACUCAGGUCCAGCUGCUUGCCGCUCGGAAAUCAGUACCUGAGAAAGAGGCAAAUAUUGGUCAAAAGGAAGGUUGCUUUUCAUCAGAAUGCUGGCAGUCUGGGGAGAGGGUGGACUCACUGUCCGCCCAAAACCAUCUCCCAAGAUUUAGCUUGACCGUGAAAGUUUUUAAAGGGAAAAAGGAAAGUCAACUCUGCCAAUCAUUGAGGUAGCGGGCAGCGUUGCCAUCCCCCACUGCCCACAGGCUUCUGAACUCUCUCCUUAGAUACAAUCUUGUUCACAGUUUGUUCGUGAGAUUACUGAAGGGGAAGCUAGGAAAGUGGUCUGUCAUCUGUUAAUUACUUAUUCUUCAGUUCUACUUCUUUGAUCUACAGAAAGAACCAAUAGGUUAGGCAAGGUAUUAUGUGAUCGAAAGAUUUGAAAGGUGUGAGUGGGUCAGAAAUGAGUAGGGCAUGGGGGCUUCUGAUUAAAAUGUAAGCAAUUUGGGAGUUCCUGUGGUAGCUUAGCAGGUUGAGAACCCAACAUAAUGUCCCUGAGGAUGUGGGUUCGAUUCCUGGCCUCGCUUGGUGGGUUAAAGAUACGGUGUUGCCCCAAACUGUGGUAUAGGUCACAGAUGCGGAUCUGGCAUUGCUGUGGCUGUGGCUGUGGCAGCUGCAGCUCCAAUCUGACCCUGGGAACUUCCAUAGGCCACAGGAAUGGCUGUAAGAAAAAAGGAGAGGAGUUCCCGUCGUGGUGCAGUGGUUAAUGAAUCUGACUAGGAACCAUGAGGUUGCGGGUUCGGUCCCUGCCCUUGCUCAGUGGGUUAACGAUCCGGCGUUGCCGUGAGCUGUGGUGUAGGUUGCAGAUGCGGCUCGGAUCCUACGUUGCUGUGGCUCUGGCGUAGGCCAGUGGCUACAGCUCCGAUUUGACCCCUAGCCUGGGAACUUCCAUAUGCCACGGGAGCGGCCCAA
Molecule: long non-coding RNA, 4804 nt
Filed under: Sus scrofa (pig)
Lineage: Eukaryota; Metazoa; Chordata; Mammalia; Artiodactyla; Suidae
Description: lncRNA (ENSSSCG00060057376.1)
Source: RNAcentral